RNAcentral lists this ribosomal RNA (441 nucleotides) under uncultured bacterium. RNAcentral's name for it is "partial 16S ribosomal RNA". It matches the Rfam family "Bacterial small subunit ribosomal RNA", at positions 339 to 795 of the family's 1533-position model. The record is from RNAcentral.
CCACGGGACGCUCCAGUGAGGAAUAUUGCGCAAUGAGCGAAAGCUAGACGCAGCAACGCCGCGUGAGCGAUGAAGGCCUUCGGGUCGUAAAGCUCUUUUCUGGGGGAAGAGGAAGGACGGUACCUCAGGAAUAAGUGUCGGCUAACUACGUGCCAGCAGCCGCGGUAAAACGUAGGACGCAAGCGUUAUCCGGAUUUACUGGGCGUAAAGCGCGUGCAGGCGGACCGUUAAGUCGUGCGUGAAAGCUCCCUGGCUCAACCGGGAGAGGUCGUACGAAACUGGCGGACUAGAGGACAGCAGAGGAGUGUGGAAUUCCGGGUGUAGUGGUGAAAUGCGUAGAUAUCCGGAGGAACACCAGUGGCGAAGGCGGCACUCUGGGCUGUACCUGACGCUAAGACGCGAAAGCAUGGGUAGCGAACGGGAUUAGAUACCCCGGUAGUC